GCAGUGGCCACCAAGUCAAGGGAGUAUCCACGUCUCUCCGACAAUCCGGGGCCGGGCAUGGUGUGUUUAAAUUUGAAAUUCAGUUUGAUUGUUAAACACAAUAACUUGCUUUGCUGUAUCUUCUUCUUGUAAUCUAGAAAUCCCAGGACAGUUUUGAAUCCUCACUCUGGCUCAAAAGAAUUGGGUGCCUGUCUUUAAGGAUAAGAUUCUGCAGUUUGCCAGCCAAGAGAAGCAGGCUCUUCAUCUACUUUCCAACAUAGAAACUAUGUCAGCAGACCGUCAGAGUGACAUCACCUUACUCGAGCUUCCUGUAGUCCUUCCAACAUCAGUUUACAAGAUCGGAAGGAAAAUGUUCAGACCAACUUGCAUAGAAACCAGAUCAGUACCAACAUGGCUAAAUACCUGCGAUCAAGACGCGAUUGAAUUUCCCUGUUCUCAGGCUUGAAGACAACCAGUGCUUUCAGGCUUUUGUGAUAACAAAUGGAGAAGCACUUGAGCAAAAACAUUGCAGGCAGCAGUAGAUGUUUGCUUUGAAGCAUUCUAAACAGUGCUCCCCUGUCUGGCAGUUUCUACAGACUGUGGUGUAUGGACUUCCUGGAGAUGAAACCCCAGCGAUAAGAAUUCUUUGAGCUUUUAUAUAUGCUGCUAAGCAGUAAUUAUUGUUAGAUCACACUUUUUCUAGACUUAACUGAAUUUAGCUAACAUUGUUCAGAGGUGCUUUUAGAGUGUAAAAACAUUUUAAAUCUGUUUGUUUACACGGCAAUUGAUUUGUUAUUUGUACCGUGGCCAUGUCUCCCAGGAAAUAUCAAAUUUAUUUAAUGUUAACAGAUUAUGAAAUUUUGCAGAGGUGUAAAAUAACUUUUUAAUGUAAACAUUCUUUUUAUACUGCAAUUGAUUUAUUAUUCUUAUGGUACAUUGAACUGAACUGACUAUUUUCUCUUAGGAAAUAUUAUAGAAUUUUUGCAGUUUAUUUUGAGCUACUGAGAUUUUAAAUUAUUUAUAUUGACAAACUGUAUUAUACAUAUAUUAUACAACCUGUCCAUAUCUUUUCUUUGGUACAGUUCUUGUGUGUUCUGCACAUCUUAAAGCAUGCUGAACAGGCAGU
Long non-coding RNA from Triplophysa rosa, 1105 nucleotides. RefSeq lists it as uncharacterized. The record is from RefSeq and is a predicted model, not a curated record. NCBI's taxonomy places the organism in Eukaryota, Metazoa, Chordata, Actinopteri, Cypriniformes, Nemacheilidae. The transcript is spliced from 3 exons.